CAAUGGUAUACAAUUAAAACAUUAUUGAUACUUUAAUUUUAGAUGGUUGUUUACUUAAAUAAUUUUAUAAUUUAUAAUCAAAGUUUUUAUUAAAGAUUAAACAAUUAAAAUUUAUUGAUAGAAACUCUACUAAUAAAUCACUACUUAAAUAAACACUAUUUAAAAAGAUACGCUAAAUUAAUGAGUUUUAUCACAUCAAUAAGGACUGAUCGAGUAUACGACGUUGUACACAAAACUACCUAAUCAUAAUUUGUCACGCACCAUAUCGCGCACUCAAUCAAAAUUUUCACAUUGGCUAUGGUAUCUAAUGGAUUUCAUGCUACAUAGUCCGUGCACUACCAAAUUUUUUUUUUUAAUCUUUUUUUUUUUAACUACCAAAAUGGGGUCCAAACGGUUUAAUAUGAUAAACCCCAAGAAUACAUUAGUUGGACGUCACUCGGAGUUGGCUAUGUAGUAAAUAACCUCUCUUAAUUCUUAAUGUUAGGCUUUUGAAUUCAUAACAACCAACAACUUAUGAUUCAAUCUUUCGUUUUCAACUUAAUAAUUAAAAAUACGACCCCCCAAACUUUUGUUUGGCAGGGCCAAUUCAGGCAUACGUCGAACAAUAAUCUGCCACGACUCUUCAAGAACAAUAGUUUGAUUUGGUUGGAUUAUGUGAUUAUUUAAUUACCCAACGUCACGAUGGGAUUUGUUCUUAAUGCCCAAUUCAAUUUGAUUUGAAGUACACGUUAUGUGCUUAAUUUGAUAAUAAUUGUUACUUUACUUGCGGGCAUGGACAGCAUUCAAGAUUCUACGUGUUGUUGUUUCUUGGCAACUCAUCAACAUGUUUAUCCACUGCCUUUUUAUUUAUUCUUCUCUUUUGUGUUUUUAUUUGGUUUUGAGCCUCAUCUGUUCAUUUAAUAUUACGGAGGCCAAAAAAAAAAAAAAAAAAAUGAAAUAGAGAAGCAAUUCUCACUAACAUAUAUUUUUAAAAAUAUUAUCAAAAAUUGGCAAGUGUUUGUGCAUCAUAUUUAUUGCGAAGUUAUUUCGCGACAGACUUCAUUGGUUAGUCAUGCCCAUUACAAAAUAUUUUGGUAAAUUGAGUGUCUAUAACUGAUGAGUUAACUAUUGUUGUUAGUCCAAUUAAUAACUUAGACAUAAUUUUGUAAAGACAAUUUUUUUUUUAUGGUUUUGUUUCCGUACGUGCAACCAAAAUCAUUGAAUUUUGAAUAUUAAGCACUCUAUUUCAAUUUCCGUACAACAUAUUGGAUUUGUGCAUGAGAGAAAAUGCACAUUCGAUUGUACCGUUUGUGUUUGUUUGUUGCUUAAGAAAACAAAAAAGGAAGGUUAGUCGUUUCCAUCAACAAUGUAUUGAAGAAGACAAAUGUACAGAAUGAGAUGAUUUGACAGCAUGAGGAAUAGCUUCUCAUGUUUUUAUUUUAUUGAUAUUCGAAAAUCAAAACGUUCCAUUUCUGCCAAGCAAUCCGAAUCCACAAAUGGACCAAUCGACCGUUUUUUUCGCCCUCAUACUGUUGCUUGAUUGUGAUUCAAUGUGCUCUUUCUAAUUUAACCAGUGAAAACGAUAAAUACGAUCUGUCGGUUCUUUCAAAUUUUGUUUUUAAUAAUGUUGUAUUGGAUUAUUACUAAAAUAUUAUAUCAAAUAUGACAAUUUAUAUUUACAAUUAA
Molecule: long non-coding RNA, 1665 nt
Filed under: Citrus x clementina
Lineage: Eukaryota; Viridiplantae; Streptophyta; Magnoliopsida; Sapindales; Rutaceae
Description: Citrus clementina (C. clementina) long non-coding RNA (CCLE_LNC000553)
Source: RNAcentral